GACGAACGCUGGCGGUGUGCUUAACACAUGCAAGUCGAACGGAAAGGCCCUGCUUUUGUGGGGUGCUCGAGUGGCGAACGGGUGAGUAACACGUGAGUAACCUGCCCUUGACUUUGGGAUAACUUCAGGAAACUGGGGCUAAUACCGGAUAGGAGCUCCUGCUGCAUGGUGGGGGUUGGAAAGUUUCGGCGGUUGGGGAUGGACUCGCGGCUUAUCAGCUUGUUGGUGGGGUAGUGGCUUACCAAGGCUUUGACGGGUAGCCGGCCUGAGAGGGUGACCGGCCACAUUGGGACUGAGAUACGGCCAAGACUCCUACGGGAGGCAGCAGUGGGGAAUAUUGCACAAUGGGCGGAAGCCUGAUGCAGCAACGCCGCGUGCGGGAUGACGGCCUUCGGGUUGUAAACCGCUUUCGCCUGUGACGAAGCGUGAGUGACGGUAAUGGGUAAAGAAGCACCGGCUAACUACGUG
RNAcentral lists this ribosomal RNA (468 nucleotides) under uncultured bacterium. RNAcentral describes it as "partial 16S ribosomal RNA". It matches the Rfam family "Bacterial small subunit ribosomal RNA", at positions 28 to 507 of the family's 1533-position model. The record is from RNAcentral.